Molecule: microRNA precursor, 57 nt
Filed under: Caenorhabditis elegans
Lineage: Eukaryota; Metazoa; Nematoda; Chromadorea; Rhabditida; Rhabditidae
Description: microRNA cel-mir-8188 precursor
Source: miRBase by way of RNAcentral
AGGCAAGAUGUAGGCACGUAGGCAGUCAGGCCUCCAGUAGACACUUGCGAAAUAUGC